This 429-nucleotide ribosomal RNA is filed under the name uncultured bacterium. RNAcentral describes it as "bacterial SSU rRNA". It matches the Rfam family "Bacterial small subunit ribosomal RNA", at positions 528 to 956 of the family's 1533-position model. The record is from RNAcentral.
UUCGCGGGCAGUGUUAAUCGGAAUUACUGGGCGUAAAGCGAGCGCGGACGGCUGCUUGUCCACGAUGUGAAAUCCCCCGCCUCACCCUGGAAGCUGCGUUCGGAAAUGGGUGACUGGAGUGUAAAUCAGGGAGGUAGAAUUCCACGUGUAGCAGUGAAAUGCGUAGAGAUGUGGAGGAAUACCGAUGGCGAAGGCAGCCUCCUGGGAUAACACUGACGUUCAUGCUCGAAAGCGUGGGUAGCAAACAGGAUUAGAUACCCUGGUAGUCCACGCCCUAAACGAUGUCAAUUAGCUGUUGGGCAACUUGAUUGCUUAGUAGCGUAGCUAACGCGUGAAAUUGACCGCCUGGGGAGUACGGUCGCAAGAUUAAAACUCAAAGGAAUUGACGGGGACCCGCACAAGCGGUGGAUGAUGUGGAUUAAUUCGAUG